AUGCCAGCAAAAAGGCUACCGUGAACAAAAACAUAUGUCUCCUUUCAAAAGAGAAAAUCUGUCUUUUCACAGCUACAAAGGAUCGAAAACAAAUUUUGUCAUCGGACGCGGAGCUGUGCCAACUCGCAGGCAGCCAGGGGAAAGCUUUGGCUUGGAGAAAGCUUCGAUGGAGAGAGAAAUAGAGAUGAAACAGCUCUGAAGGAGAAAAAGAGCAGUGAGGUUCCUGUGUCCUGCAGGUCCCAGCCCUGCUUCCAUGGGAGUCGUGCUGCCAGCCCCAGCCCACCCAUGGCCCCGCUGUCCCCUGGGGGAUGCCCACCCACAGCACCAGCCAGGAUGGGGGCUGCAAAUAGGACACAGCCCAUUGCACAGAGCCUGAGGGAAGAUUUCGGAGAGUGGGCAGAUUCAGGAGGCCAUGAGGUACAAAAGGGAAGACAUCGCUGCUCCCCUCAUCACACGCAUUGCCCCCUGGCAGGGAGCAGUCAGAUCUCAGCCCCCGUGCCCGUGGCUGUCCUGCUCCCUGUGCACUACCCCCCAUCAGCCAGCAGCCCCAGCGACCAGAAUCUGGAGAAUCUGCGGAGAAAGUCAUCUUGGAAGAAGUUAGAGCAGCUCAAGAAGAAAAUCCAGGAGCAGAAGCGAAAUCAACAAGCAGCUUCUCAGGAGCAGAAGUGCCUGAUUGCAUCCUGUGCUCCAGAGCUGCUUCAGGACAGACCCCUGAAGAGAAAGGUGUGCAGGGUGCCUGCCCCUUCUGCUCCAUGUCCCGGAGGCCAAAGAAAGAGUGGCUCAGCAUGGGGGACUCAGACACAGAGCCAGAAGCAGCCCUUGCCCAGGUCCUCUUCUCUGGAGAAAACAGCAGUGGGUGAAGGUUCAAAGCUCCCUGGUGCUUCUGCGUGGAGGGAAGGUCAGAAGUUAGCCAGGAAGCUGCUUGGUCCACCGCCUGCAUUUCCAAAGCUGAGAAGCAGAGCUGAAGAGCAGAGCACUGGAAAUGGCUACGGGCCCAACACUGCAGUGUCAGCAGUGGAGAACAGCUCCAGAGAAAAGAGAAAAGAACCUGUGGGGAAAAGCCCUGAGUUCCAAAGCUGUGCAGCUCCCCACCACGGCCCUGCUGGAAGGAGCAGCAGUGCACCAACCAAAGCUGCAAAGCAAAUACUCAGGAGUCUCCAUUUCCAAAGCCAGUGCCACGAUGUCCACAGGCAGAGUGGGCUCCUGGGAGAUACCAUGAAGGGAAAGGUUCUGCAGCAGCACCAUCUGCCUUCACCUGGACCUCAGGACACGAAUCCCUCUGCCUUUAGUGCAGGAAAACGAAGGGCUGCAUUAAUAACAGCUGGAGCCAAGGCCAGCAGCUCUGGAAGCAUCCACAGAGGGAAAAGCGAAUCUCCUCAGAGGUGGACCCCUGUGCAGAAAGGGUCUGAGAAAGAAAACCUGAAACAGCCUCCAAAGAGGAGAGUAAACCUUAGAAAACCUCACCCCUACAGCCGUGAUGUUGUUCAGGAGUUUAUGUGUCGGAAGAACGAAGAGAGAAAGAAAAAAAAGCUAGAAGAGAAGAAGUCUGUGAUGCAGGCAGUGGAAAUGAGGAAUAAGAGGCUGCAAGAAGUAUACAGGAAACAGAGAGAAGCUCUUGGAAAGAGAAAGUGCUCUGAGCAGGCGUGGGAGCUCAUCAGGGGAGCAGCUGCUGCCAAAGGAAGUCCUCAGCACACACUUGAGCAAGAACAAACCAGCGGUGAAACCCUGAGGCACAGUUUCAUGUCCUGGGUGGAGAAAGCAUCCCAUACUGCACUCCAUCGAGAUCCCAGGAAUCAGCUUCUAGAAACUGCUCCAUCAGUUACAAACAGAGAGGCAUUACCUUCUGCAACGCUACUGACAUUUGAAUCCUGGCUUCCCAGUCCUCUGAAAUGUCAGGACUUGAGGGACUGCUCCCCCCCAGCUCUGGAUACUCCUCCUCUGAGCUUUUCCCCUCCUCAGAAAGACACAAAGCCAGACUACAAGGACUCAACUUCUGGCCUUUCUCCAUAUAGAAAUAAAUGGGACCGAGUGAAAGCCAUACACAACCUUUCCAAGGAGCUUGCAGAAAAGAUUGAGAUGGCAACUAAGAGGCUGAGUGCAACAAGCACUGGUAAAGAUUCUGCUGGUAAAAUAGCAGCAGAGAUAACCUGGGACCUCUUCAAUGAAUCUUCUGUCCCUGAGCCAGAGGCAUCCAAAGAUGAGCAGGAUGGGGCAAUGACUGUACAGAUGCUGCUGGGAGCCCCAGGCCUUGAUGAGUUACAUGUGCCAUCAAACAGGGAAUGUCAUGGACCAGGCAGGAUUAGCCUUGUGGAUAGCACUGAGGGAACAGCAGAGCUGGCCAGAGAGAAGAAAAUAGCUUCUUUGUCUGGUGGGAGUGCUGUGAGCAAAGAGUGGCCAUGGAUCACUCACAGUAUAAGGCAGAGACAUCCCAAUGCUGGGGAGAGCUUGAGCAGCACAAUGGAAGGUUUUCCAGUGAAUAAAGGCUCCGAAGUGGACAUGAGCCUAUUGCAUGAAAAGCCAAUAACCAGCCCAGCCUUUCCAUCUCACGGAUUCCUUGCUAGAAGCCUGCAGACAGACCCUGCAGCUCGGAGGUGUGGGGCCGUUCCAGCACUGCAGGAUCGAGGGGCAGCUGCCCAACGCCAUCCCUGCAUGGAGAGCUUGAGGACAGCAGGCAGCCACGCACUGCAGCCCUGCAGAGCUCGAGGCAGCACUGAGCAGCACUGCGUUUCUGCAGGUGAGGCAGACUGUGCAGAACUGAAAGAGAAACACAGGAACCAUCUGCACAACUUAAAACAAGCUUCCCUCCUACUGGCUCACAAACUGAAGGCACAUCAGCUCCAGCAGAAGCAGUGGCUGGCAGUGCUGAGUGAGAAAGCCAAGCUAGAACUUCGGGAAAGCCAGAGGUCUUUGAGUGACCUGCUUCAGAACGAUUUAAAGCUGUGCAGCAGCUCCAAAGGCAGUGAUUCCCCUGUGCCGAAGCUGGACCACGCAGAGCAAACAUGGGCAGGACACCAGCCUGCAGGUGACAGCACAGCUGGCAGUAAUGAAGAGAUGCAUUCCCUGAAACAAUUUCCAUUGAAUAUGGAGAGAGAACGGAGCCCGGUGGACUCCAAAACUGUGGGACAAAGGAAAUCUCUGGGAGGAAGGAGUUCAUUUGGCUCAGCCCUUCAUGAAGGAUCUCUGCCAGCAGAGGAUGGGGAGCCAUUGCAUGGCCACCAAGGCCUGAACCUGCUCUCAGCUCCCAUAGAGCUGCCCCACGGGGAUCCCUGCACAGCAGGUGGCUCCGGGGACAGCAGUGACCAGGACAGCCAGGUAACACCAGCUCUGCUUCCACGCUGCUGGGCUUGGAUCUUGUUUUGUUGUAUUUUCAGUCCCC
This is a long non-coding RNA of Chrysolophus pictus (golden pheasant), 3376 nucleotides long. NCBI's taxonomy places the organism in Eukaryota, Metazoa, Chordata, Aves, Galliformes, Phasianidae. The record is from Ensembl.